This 468-nucleotide ribosomal RNA is filed under the name Theileria annulata. RNAcentral describes it as "bacterial SSU rRNA". It matches the Rfam family "Eukaryotic small subunit ribosomal RNA", at positions 473 to 947 of the family's 1831-position model. The record is from RNAcentral. Lineage: Eukaryota; Apicomplexa; Aconoidasida; Piroplasmida; Theileriidae.
GGGGGUGUUAAACAGGGCUAAGUCUUGUAGUUGGAAUGAUGGGAAUUUAAACCUCUUCCAAAGUAUCAAUUGGAGGGCAAGUCUGGGGCCACCAGCCGCGGAAAUUCCACCUCCAAUAGCGAAUAUUAAAAUUGUUGCAGUUAAAAAGCUCGUAGUUGAAUUUCUGCUGCAUUGCUUGUGUCCCUCUGGGGUCUGUGCAUGUGGCUUUUUUCGGACGGAGUUUCUUUGUCUGAAUGUUUACUUUGAGAAAAUUAGAGUGCUCAAAGCAGGCUUUCGCCUUGAAUAAUUUAGCAUGGAAUAAUAGAGUAGGACUUUGGUUCUAUUUUGUUGGUAUAGGUACCAAAGUAUUGGUUAAUAGGAACAGUUGGGGGAUUCGUAUUUAAAUAAUAGGGAGAGGUGGGGGCAUUCAAAUUAAAACCGCAUCCGUCAAUUGGUGGGUGUAUUCGUAUUUAAAGGAGAGUUGAGUAG